GAUCAUGGCUCAGGAUGAACGCUAGCUACAGGCUUAACACAUGCAAGUCGAGGGGCAGCAUUUUAGUUUGCUUGCAAACUGAAGAUGGCGACCGGCGCACGGGUGAGUAACCCGUAUCCAACCUGCCGAUAACUCCGGGAUAGCCUUUCGAAAAGAAAGAUUAAUACCGGAUAGCAUACGAAUAUCGCAUGAUAUUUUUAUUAAAGAAUUUCGGUUAUCGAUGGGGAUGCGUUCCAUUAGUUUGG
This 245-nucleotide ribosomal RNA is filed under the name uncultured bacterium. RNAcentral describes it as "partial 16S ribosomal RNA". It matches the Rfam family "Bacterial small subunit ribosomal RNA", at positions 15 to 249 of the family's 1533-position model. The record is from RNAcentral.